GCUGGAAACAGUCCUUCCCCUUUGGGGCCGGUUCACAGGUGGUGCAUGGUUGUCGUCAGCUCGUGUCGUGAGAUGUUGGGUUAAGUCCCGCAACGAGCGCAACCCUCGUUCCAUGUUGCCAGCGCGUAAUGGCGGGGACUCAUGGGAGACUGCCGGGGUCAACUCGGAGGAAGGUGGGGACGACGUCAAAUCAUCAUGCCCCUUAUGUCUUGGGCUUCACGCAUGCUACAAUGGCCGGUACAAAGGGUUGCGAUACCGUGGGGUGGAGCUAAUCCCAAAAAGCCGGUCUCAGUUCGGAUUGGGGUCUGCAACUCGACCCCAUGAAGUCGGAGUCGCUAGUAAUCGCAGAUCAGCAACGCUGCGGUUAAUACGUUCCCGGGCAUUGUACACACCGCCCGU
RNAcentral lists this ribosomal RNA (399 nucleotides) under uncultured Arthrobacter sp. RNAcentral describes it as "bacterial SSU rRNA". It matches the Rfam family "Bacterial small subunit ribosomal RNA", at positions 999 to 1397 of the family's 1533-position model. Lineage: Bacteria; Bacillati; Actinomycetota; Actinomycetes; Micrococcales; Micrococcaceae. The record is from RNAcentral.